CCUACGGGAGGCAGCAGUGGGAAUCUUAGACAAUGGGCGCAAGCCUGAUCUAGCCAUGCCGCGUGAGUGAAGAAGGCCUUAGGGUCGUAAAGCUCUUUCGCCAGGGAUGAUAAUGACAGUACCUGGUAAAGAAACCCCGGCUAACUCCGUGCCAGCAGCCGCGGUAAUACGGAGGGGGUUAGCGUUGUUCGGAAUUACUGGGCGUAAAGCGCACGUAGGCGGAUUAGAAAGUUAGAGGUGAAAUCCCAGGGCUCAACCCUGGAACUGCCUUUAAAACUCCUAGUCUUGAGUUCGAGAGAGGUGAGUGGAAUUCCAAGUGUAGAGGUGAAAUUCGUAGAUAUUUGGAGGAACACCAGUGGCGAAGGCGGCUCACUGGCUCGAUACUGACGCUGAGGUGCGAAAGUGUGGGGAGCAAACAGGAUUAGAUACCCUGGUAGUCCACACCGUAAACGAUGAAUGCCAGUCGUCGGGUAGUAUACUAUUCGGUGACACACCUAACGGAUUAAGCAUUCCGCCUGGGGAGUACGAUGGCAAG
RNAcentral lists this ribosomal RNA (535 nucleotides) under uncultured Alphaproteobacteria bacterium. Its description in RNAcentral is "bacterial SSU rRNA". It matches the Rfam family "Bacterial small subunit ribosomal RNA", at positions 338 to 892 of the family's 1533-position model. The record is from RNAcentral. Lineage: Bacteria; Pseudomonadati; Pseudomonadota; Alphaproteobacteria.